UGUAAGAACUGGAAGCUUCUGGAAAGUUGCGCCGCAGCGGGUGAUAGCCCCGUACAGGUAGAAAUCAGAUUUAUCCUCGAGUAGGGCGGGACACGUGAAAUCCUGUCUGAACGUGGGGGGACCACCCUCCAAGCCUAAAUACUCCUUACUGACCGAUAGUGAACAAGUACCGUGAGGGAAAGAUGAAAAGAACCCCGAUAAGGGGAGUGAAAUAGAACUUGAAACCAUGCACUUACAAUCGGUGGAAGCGUUAUUGUAAAGCGUGACCACGUACCUUUUGCAUUAUGAGCCAUCGAGUUACGAUGUGUAGCAAGGUUAAGCCUUUAGGUGUAGCCGUAGGGAAACCGAGUCUGAAUAGGGCGAUUAGUUGCAUGUCGUAGACCCGAAACGGGAUGAGCUUACCAUGGGCAGGUUGAAGCGAGGGUAAAACCUCGUGGAGGACCGAACCCGUUAAGGUUGAAAACUUUUGGGAUGACCUGUGGUAAGGGGUGAAAGGCCAAUCAAAUUCCGUGAUAGCUGGUUCUCUCCGAAAUGCAUUUAGGUGCAGCGUCUAAUGAAUACCGUCGGGGGUAUAGCACUGAAUUGGCUAGGGGGCUUACCGGCUUACCAAACCAUAUCAAACUCAGAAUACCGACGAGUACUAUUAGGCAGUGAGACUGCGGAUG
This 665-nucleotide ribosomal RNA is filed under the name Trieres chinensis. RNAcentral's name for it is "partial Bacterial large subunit ribosomal RNA". It matches the Rfam family "Bacterial large subunit ribosomal RNA", at positions 319 to 997 of the family's 2925-position model. The record is from RNAcentral. Lineage: Eukaryota; Bacillariophyta; Thalassiosirophyceae; Eupodiscales; Parodontellaceae.